This 881-nucleotide long non-coding RNA is filed under the name Cricetulus griseus (Chinese hamster). RNAcentral's name for it is "lncRNA (ENSCGRG00015034519.1)". The record is from RNAcentral. Lineage: Eukaryota; Metazoa; Chordata; Mammalia; Rodentia; Cricetidae.
ACAAGCCAGUCACUUCCCAGGAGUUCCCAGGAAUGGACGGACAGUGUGGGCUGCCACCUCGGCCCAGAGCUGAACUGGGACAAAUGUGUCCUGAGUUGCUGUUUUGUGCAUGCCUGACUGCAGGUUCCUCUGUCCUCUCAGAAGAUCACACCCACAGGCUUGGUGUUUGUAUUGACAUCUGAGUAAUCUCAAAUAUAGGUUCUUAGGAGCCAUACUCAGUCCCCAGGUUUGCAGAGCAAGCCCUUCACCCACUGAGCCACCACCUCCACUUUGAGAAGGUCCAUCUGUGUAUCCCUGGCUAGUUUGGAGCUCACUAUACAGAUCAGGCUUGCCUUGGACAUAUGGUCCUCCUGUCUCUGUACCCCCUCCUGUCCAAGUCUGAAGGCGCGUGACACUGCUCCUGGGACAGCCACCCAAUUAACACAGUGGCAGAUACUGUGUACUCAGUGAGGACCAGCCCACACACCACUUGUUCAGGACUUGGACUUUUAUGAAGAAUUUAUCGCCGGGCGGUGGUGGCUCACACCUUUAAUCCCAGCACUCGGGAGGCAGAGGCAGGCGGAUCUCUGUGUGGUCUACAGCCAGCAAACUCCUGAGAGACAGUGACUGUGGCAGCUCUGGGCCCUGCGACUUCCUCUCACAAGUUUACCAAAGAUGACACGUGAGGCACUGCCCUCAGCUCGCAGCCUCCCUUUGCCUAUGCCCAGGGGUUCUUCUUCAGCUAGCAGCACCAUGGGGUGUGAGCCCAGCUUCCCUCUCAUGGCUAUUGAGUGGGAGAAUGUGUUUUUCUUUCUCCAUCAUUUUCCUCUCCAUUUUUUGAUGUUACAGUCUUUCUGACUUCUUUUAGUAGUUGCCCAGAAAUUUUCAAAGUUUUAAUUAAU